GGAAAUGUGGCUCAGUGAUAGAGCACUUGCCUGGCACACAUGGUGCCCUGGAUACAAUUCCCAGCAUGGCAA
This 72-nucleotide transfer RNA is filed under the name Marmota marmota marmota (Alpine marmot). It matches the Rfam family "tRNA". From Rfam's summary of the family: Transfer RNA (tRNA) molecules are approximately 80 nucleotides in length. Their secondary structure includes four short double-helical elements and three loops (D, anti-codon, and T loops). The record is from Rfam by way of RNAcentral. Lineage: Eukaryota; Metazoa; Chordata; Mammalia; Rodentia; Sciuridae. RNAcentral also lists the same sequence under 3 other names.